Molecule: ribosomal RNA, 253 nt
Filed under: uncultured bacterium
Lineage: Bacteria
Description: partial 16S ribosomal RNA
Rfam family: Bacterial small subunit ribosomal RNA
Source: RNAcentral
UACGGAGGAUGCAAGCGUUAUCCGGAAUGAUUGGGCGUAGAGCGUCCGCAGGUGGUACAACAAGUCUAGUGUCAAAGACCGGGGCUCAACCCCGGGAAGGCGGUGGAAACUGUUGAACUAGAGGGUCGUAGGGGUAGAGGGAAUUCCCAGUGUAGCGGUGAAAUGCGUAGAGAUUGGGAAGAACAUCGGUGGCGAAGGCGCUCUACUGGACGGCAAUUGACACUCAGGGACGAAAGCUAGGGGAGCGAAUGGG